CACGUGGGCAACCUGCCCUUUGCACUGGGAUAGCCUCGGGAAACCGAGGUUAAUACCGGAUACUCCAUAUUUGUCGCAUGGCGAAUAUGGGAAAGCUCCGGCGGCAAAGGAUGGGCCCGCGGCCUGUUAGCUAGUUGGUGGGGUAGUGGCCUACCAAGGCAAUGAUGGGUAGCCGGGUUGAGAGACCGACCGGCCAGAUUGGGACUGAGACACGGCCCAGACUCCUACGGGAGGCAGCAGUGGGGAAUCUUGCACAAUGGGCGAAAGCCUGAUGCAGCGACGCCGCGUGCGGGAUGAAGGCCUUCGGGUUGUAAACCGCUUUCAGCAGGGACGAGGCCGCAAGGUGACGGUACCUGCAGAAGAAGCCCCCGGGCUAACUACGUGCCAGCAGCCGCGGUAAA
RNAcentral lists this ribosomal RNA (401 nucleotides) under uncultured Atopobium sp. RNAcentral describes it as "bacterial SSU rRNA". It matches the Rfam family "Bacterial small subunit ribosomal RNA", at positions 114 to 524 of the family's 1533-position model. Lineage: Bacteria; Bacillati; Actinomycetota; Coriobacteriia; Coriobacteriales; Atopobiaceae. The record is from RNAcentral.